Molecule: ribosomal RNA, 593 nt
Filed under: Coryphaena hippurus (common dolphinfish)
Lineage: Eukaryota; Metazoa; Chordata; Actinopteri; Carangiformes; Coryphaenidae
Description: partial 16S ribosomal RNA
Rfam family: Bacterial large subunit ribosomal RNA
Source: RNAcentral
AGAGGUCCCACCUGCCCGGUGACACCAAUUUAACGGCCGCGGUAUCCUGACCGUGCGAAGGUAGCGUAAUCAUUUGUCUUUUAAAUGGGGACUUGUAUGAAUGGUAUAACGAGGGCUUAACUGUCUCCUCCCUCUUGUCAAUGAAAUUGAUCUCCCCGUGCAGAAGCGGGGAUACUCUCAUAAGACGAGAAGACCCUAUGGAGCUUUAGAUACUAAGGUAGACCAUAUUCCAUAACCCCUUGUUAAAGGAGUAAAUCUAUGCUAAUCCUACCCCUAUAUCUUCGGUUGGGGCGACAAUGGGGAAAUAAAAAUCCCCCAUGCGGAACGGGAAAAUUUUAUCUAAGAAAUUAUUCUUACCAUAAAGCUACUUCCCCAAAUUAAGAGUGACAACUCUAAAUUACAGUAUUUCUGACCAUAAAUGAUCCGGCAUUUGCCGAUUAACGGACCAAGUUACCCUAGGGAUAACAGCGCAAUCCCCUUUUAGAGCCCACAUCAACAAGGGGGUUUACGACCUCGAUGUUGGAUCAGGACAUCCUAUUGGUGCAGCCGCUAUUAAGGGUUCGUUUGUUCAACGAUUAAAGUCCUACGUGAUC